UACGGGGGGAGCAAGCGUUGUUCGGAUUUACUGGGCGUAAAGGGCGCGUAGGCGGCACCGCAAGUCGACUGUGAAAUCUCCGGGCUUAACCCGGAAAGGUCAGCCGAUACUGCGGGGCUAGAGUGCAGAAGGGGCAACUGGAAUUCUCGGUGUAGCGGUGAAAUGCGUAGAUAUCGAGAGGAACACCUGCGGCGAAGGCGGCAUCCUGGACCGGUAUUGACGCUGAGGAGCGAAAGCCAGGGGAGCAAACGGG
Molecule: ribosomal RNA, 253 nt
Filed under: uncultured bacterium
Lineage: Bacteria
Description: partial 16S ribosomal RNA
Rfam family: Bacterial small subunit ribosomal RNA
Source: RNAcentral